AUCCAGACAUCAAAGGAGAUCCCAAGGAUGCAUUUCUUUCUGCCCAAACUCACAAGAUACAAGGAGAGAAGAAAACUUUCAUACAUGGACAGAUUCUGCACCAACUUAGUCCAACGGUUAGUUUUUCACUUAUUAUUUAUUUCCAAGUUAUUCUUUUAGGCAUUUGUGUUCUUUUCUAUUUAAACUGAGCUAAGUCUUAUUUGUAAAUCACCCUUGCACGAAAUUAAUAAAGUAUUUUUCAGUUUACAAAGUUUGUCUUUGUUUUGUUCAAUUAGUCUUUAGGUGGAUUCUGUUAGAUUCGGGUUAAUUAUGAGUUUCCAACUUAAAACCAAUUGACAAUUAGUGGAUUGCCCCUAACCAUUUAUAUAUUACAUGUCUUUUAGAAUUCCCGAUGUGGGAUAUUUAUCUCUAAUACCCCUCCUCGAGACGAUGACUCUUAUCGGUCAGAAAUCUCGGAACUUUAAGACAGUUAUACUCGGUCGAGCGAGUCAAUUACGACAUUUAUACCCGGUCGGAUAGAGUUAUAUUAAUUAGGGAUUUAGGGUAUUUAGGACCUGGUUAUGAUACCAUGUUAGAUUUCUUGUUCGUUUGCUUGUCUCCUUAGUUUGUGGAUUCAUUCUAGGAUACAAGUGUAGGUAUCUGUCUUUAUGUGGAUUCACAUAGGCGCAGGCAUCUGGUCUUAUCAAAGGGAUACUUCCACAACCCUUUGUGGCGACAAUCGACCCAUUCAAGCUUGACAACUCAUGUUGCCUUGUGAUCUAGCCUUUGUUAGCUUAGGAUUACAUCAUUUUUUUAUCAGGAUUAUAUAUAUGACUGCAUCAUCAUAUAUAUAAAGUACAAUUUCCUUCUCUUCCAGGGGGUCCACGUCGCCAUCCACGUCAUCAGUUCGGAUGCUGUCGAGCCGACACCAGUCCCGCACUACAAAACGCAGCGCAUCAUUAAGUUAGCCACGUCGGGCUUUUUCGUUUUUGGCCUGUUGAACAAAUGUGGGCUUUGUUACGUCCUCCAUUUAAGGCCCUGGGAAUAGGACAACAUACGACGCGAACCCUAGCUGUGUCCUUCGUUACUCUGAGUACGGGCUUCUGUGUGGUGCAGACGGGCACCACACCUGAAAGUGAACGGGGACCAGAGGCAUUGGGGAGAGUUUAUAACACAAGGACUUUUGUUCAUGUGCAUCGCGGGAUGGAUCAGGUGGGUGGGGAGAAGCUAGAAGUGGGAACAGCGCAGAGGAUAAGGAUACGCCGGUAGCACGGGUAGAAGAUUCCGCGGCGGAGAUAGAGCUUACGGGCUUUUGACUAACAUUUUGGAGAAGAAACCAUUUCUGAUAGCAUGGCAACAAUGAUGACAAAGAUAUAAAGACUAAGUACUGUGUCUGGGACAGUUUCAACACAAGAUGAAACGCAUCACUAUACUAGGAGAUCGUUGGCUACCCUGAUUUUCCAGUCACAGAAGGGAACUCCGAACCCUUGAGAUGGGAUUCUCGGUGUAGCUGAUUUUGUUCACGGUAAAAAAUGGGCUAGGAGAUGAGAUUCUUUUGAGAGGGUCUCUGACUAUCCGUGUGAAGUCACCAUUCUGGCCUUCGGACCUCUGAUCAGUCUUGCAAUACUUAGCCCAUCAAGCAUGAAAGUUCAUUAGCGAGUAAGGUGAAGAUGAUUGUUAUACUUGGUGGAGCUUUCUUUGCAUUAGGGAAUAUCAAUCCCCCAGCUGAAGCAAACAUACAACACCCUCUGAACCUCUUAUUUAAUCUUCUAUCAAUGAAAGAAUGCAGGUUUCAUGUUUUGUGGGUUUUCCCCUUUCUAUGCAGAUGUAUAGUCACAUGGAAGCAGCUGAUGUUUGGGUUCAUGUCUGGAGUUAAUAUCACUGACAUCACUACCCAACUUAAACAAACAGUCUCUUCUACUGUUCAAGAUGAUGACCUCUUAGCCCUGCGUGACUCCAAAGGAAACACGCAAGGUUGUUAAGUGACAUGUGCAAAUUUUACAGAGCUUGGCACGUCAAAUCUGAUGGAGUGUUACCUCCAUAACCCUGUGUGCUUUCUGGAAGCAGUACAGCCUGAUCUAUUCAAAUAUAAGAAAUGGGUUGUUUGGGUGGGACUCAGGGAAUAUGCGUCGGCCAUAGGCUCAUGGAUCAAGCCCUCAAGAAGUCUUAUUAUAUAGAUUUUAAGCUUCAGAGAAAAAGAAAGAAUUGUAGAUGGAACGGAAGCAAUGUAUGAGUGAUAUUUUCACCAGUGUUUGUGGCGUGGACAAUAGAUGUAGACACAUUUGGAAUGUGUCUGAUGAAGCUUAAUUUGAAUCUUAAUUCAAGAUCUGUAUUAGAACUGUAUAAAUGCAAAACUUAGCUAAAAAAUAAUGAAAACUAUUUAUCUUCUCUUUU
Brassica napus (rape) is the source of this 2373-nucleotide long non-coding RNA. RefSeq lists it as uncharacterized. NCBI's taxonomy places the organism in Eukaryota, Viridiplantae, Streptophyta, Magnoliopsida, Brassicales, Brassicaceae. The transcript is spliced from 7 exons. The record is from RefSeq and is a predicted model, not a curated record.